RNAcentral lists this ribosomal RNA (497 nucleotides) under uncultured bacterium. RNAcentral's name for it is "partial 16S ribosomal RNA". It matches the Rfam family "Bacterial small subunit ribosomal RNA", at positions 28 to 507 of the family's 1533-position model. The record is from RNAcentral.
GAUGAACGCUGGCGGCGUGCCUAAUACAUGCAAGUCGAGCGAACGGACGAGAAACUUGCUUCUCUGAUGUUCGCGGCGGACGGGUGAGUAACAUGUGGAUAACCUACCUAUAAGACUGGGAUAAAUUCGGGAAACCGGAGCUAAUACCGGAUAAUCUUUUGAACCGCAUGGUUCAAAAGUGAAAGACGGUCUUGCUGUCACUUAUAGAUGGAUCCGCGCUGCAUUAGCUAGUUGGUAAGGUAACGGCUUACCAAGGCAACGAUGCAUAGCCGACCUGAGAGGGUGAUCGGCCACACUGGAACUGAGACACGGUCCAGACUCCUACGGGAGGCAGCAGUAGGGAAUCUUCCGCAAUGGGCGAAAGCCUGACGGAGCAACGCCGCGUGAGUGAUGAAGGUCUUCGGAUCGUAAAACUCUGUUAUUAGGGAAGAACAUAUGUGUAAGUAACUGUGCACAUCUUGACGGUACCUGAUCAGAAAGCCACGGCUAACUACGUG